CCUACGGGAGGCAGCAGUGGGGAAUAUUGCACAAUGGGCGCAAGCCUGAUGCAGCAACGCCGCGUGAGGGACGACGGCCUUCGGGUUGUAAACCUCUUUUAGUAGGGAAGAAGCGAAAGUGACGGUACCUGCAGAAAAAGCACCGGCUAACUACGUGCCAGCAGCCGCGGUAAUACGUAGGGUGCAAGCGUUAUCCGGAAUUAUUGGGCGUAAAGAGCUCGUAGGCGGUUUGUCGCGUCUGCUGUGAAAACUGGAGGCUCAACCUCCAGCCUGCAGUGGGUACGGGCAAACUAGAGUGCGGUAGGGGAGAUUGGAAUUCCUGGUGUAGCGGUGGAAUGCGCAGAUAUCAGGAGGAACACCGAUGGCGAAGGCAGAUCUCUGGGCCGUAACUGACGCUGAGGAGCGAAAGCAUGGGGAGCGAACAGGAUUAGAUACCCUGGUAGUCCAUGCCGUAAACGUUGGGCGCUAGAUGUGGGGACCAUUCCACGGUUUCCGUGUCGCNGCUACGCAUAGUCGCCCGCCGUCGGGAGGUACGGCCGCCGACGGACGUAAACGUAACGUAAAGAAAGUUAGUUACGGUACGUUGAGACGCGACGACGACGACGACGGAGGAGGAG
Molecule: ribosomal RNA, 617 nt
Filed under: uncultured bacterium
Lineage: Bacteria
Description: bacterial SSU rRNA
Rfam family: Bacterial small subunit ribosomal RNA (bases 1-522)
Source: RNAcentral